RNAcentral lists this ribosomal RNA (305 nucleotides) under uncultured bacterium. Its description in RNAcentral is "bacterial SSU rRNA". It matches the Rfam family "Bacterial small subunit ribosomal RNA", at positions 334 to 655 of the family's 1533-position model. The record is from RNAcentral.
UGGGCCUACGGGGCGCAGCAGUAGGGAAUCUUCCACAAUGGACGAAAGUCUGAUGGAGCAACGCCGCGUGAGUGAAGAAGGGUUUCGGAUUGUAAACUGCUUUAGACAGGGAAGAUACAAGACAGUACCUGUAAAAUAAGCUCCGGCUAACUACGUGCCAGCAGCCGCGGUAAUACGUAGGGAGCAAGCGUUAUCCGGAUUUAUUGGGUGUAAAGGGUGCGUAGACGGGAAGGCAAGUUGGUUGUGAAAUCCCUCGGCUUAACUGAGGAACUGCAACCAAAACUAUCUUUCUUGAGUGCUGGAGA